AUUGAACGCUGGCGGAAUGCUUUACACAUGCAAGUCGAACGGCAGCACGGGUGCUUGCACCUGGUGGCGAGUGGCGAACGGGUGAGUAAUGUAUCGGAACGUAUCCAAUAAUGGGGGAUAACGAGUCGAAAGAUUCGCUAAUACCGCAUACGCCCUAAGGGGGAAAGCGGGGGAUCGUAAGACCUCGCGUUAAUGGAGUGGCCGAUAUCUGAUUAGCUAGUUGGUAGGGUAAAAGCCUACCAAGGCUACGAUCAGUAGCUGGUCUGAGAGGAUGACCAGCCACACUGGAACUGAGACACGGUCCAGACUCCUACGGGAGGCAGCAGUGGGGAAUUUUCCGCAAUGGGCGCAAGCCUGACGGGGCAACGCCGCGUGAGGGAUGAAGGCCUCUGGGCUGUAAACCUCUUUUAUCAAGGAAGAAGAACUGACGGUACUUGAUGAAUAAGCCACGGCUAAUUCCGUGCCAGCAGCCGCGGUAAUACGGGAGUGGCAAGCGUUAUCCGGAAUUAUUGGGCGUAAAGCGUCCGCAGGCGGUUUAACAAGUCUGUCGUUAAAGCGUGGAGCUCAACUCCAUUUCAGCGAUGGAAACUGUAAGACUCGAGUGUGGUAGGGGCAGAGGGAAUUCCCGGUGUAGCGGUGAAAUGCGUAGAUAUCGGGAAGAACACCAGUGGCGAAGGCGCUCUGCUGGGCCAUAACUGACGCUCAUGGACGAAAGCUAGGGGAGCGAAAGGGAUUAGAUACCCCUGUAGUCCUAGCCGUAAACGAUGAACACUAGGUGUCGGGGGAAUCGACCCCCUCGGUGUCGUAGCCAACGCGUUAAGUGUUCCGCCUGGGGAGUACGCACGCAAGUGUGAAACUCAAAGGAAUUGACGGGGGCCCGCACAAGCGGUGGAGUAUGUGGUUUAAUUCGAUGCAACGCGAAGAACCUUACCAGGGCUUGACAUCCUGCGAAUCCCUUGGAAACGAGGGAGUGCCUUCGGGAGCGCAGAGACAGGUGGUGCAUGGCUGUCGUCAGCUCGUGUCGUGAGAUGUUGGGUUAAGUCCCGCAACGAGCGCAACCC
This 1061-nucleotide ribosomal RNA is filed under the name uncultured bacterium. RNAcentral describes it as "bacterial SSU rRNA". It matches the Rfam family "Bacterial small subunit ribosomal RNA", at positions 28 to 1104 of the family's 1533-position model. The record is from RNAcentral.